UAUAACACCAUCAUCCUCUGCAAUUCGAUGAAUAACAUCGGCAACAUUGUGAAAAUGAAGAAAAAGCGCCGUGGCAAGGUUAAGAAAGCUAGGUCAUCCAGAAAAUCACAGCAAGAUGAAGCUAUAUACACAAUGUAAGUGUAUUAUAUAUGGUGGUCGUUUCAAACACAUCUUCGUCUUUAUCUACACCAGUAAUACACACAAGAGCUACACUAAUAUCAACCUAGAGGAAUUAAGUAGUGUUGAAGUUUUGAAGAGCACGGAAGGAAGUUGAUCGGAGACGAGGCAAUUUGGGUCUGGAGUCAAAUUAAAAAAGAGUCAAACUUUUAAGUGAAAAUUUUAAAUAGCUAGGAUUUAAUUAAUAAAUAAGUUGCAAG
This is a long non-coding RNA of Daucus carota subsp. sativus, 377 nucleotides long. RefSeq lists it as uncharacterized. Lineage: Eukaryota; Viridiplantae; Streptophyta; Magnoliopsida; Apiales; Apiaceae. The record is from RefSeq and is a predicted model, not a curated record. The transcript has 3 exons.